This 452-nucleotide ribosomal RNA is filed under the name uncultured bacterium. RNAcentral's name for it is "bacterial SSU rRNA". It matches the Rfam family "Bacterial small subunit ribosomal RNA", at positions 28 to 507 of the family's 1533-position model. The record is from RNAcentral.
GAUGAACGCUGGCGGCGUGCCUAACACAUGCAAGUCGAGCGAUUUACUUCGGUAAAGAGCGGCGGACGGGUGAGUAACGCGUGGGUAACCUGCCUCAUACACAUGGAUAACAUACCGAAAGGUAUGCUAAUACAGGAUAAUAUAAGAGAUUCACAUGGAUUUCUUAUCAAAGCUCCGGCGGUAUGAGAUGGACCCGCGUCUGAUUAGCUAGUUGGUAAGGUAAUGGCUUACCAAGGCGACGAUCAGUAGCCGACCUGAGAGGGUGAUCGGCCACAUUGGAACUGAGACACGGUCCAAACUCCUACGGGAGGCAGCAGUGGGGAAUAUUGCACAAUGGGCGAAAGCCUGAUGCAGCAACGCCGCGUGAGUGAUGAAGGCCUUCGGGUCGUAAAACUCUGUCCUCAAGGAAGAUAAUGACGGUACUUGAGGAGGAAGCCCCGGCUAACUACGUG